CAGAAUCCAUUCGUUGGAGUUAAAGUUAUUCGAAUCGACAGAUAAAAUAUCGUGAGUUGCGAUUCAGGCAUUCGUAAAUGCAAAUUUCAGUAAGAAAACUAGAAAAUUAGGAAAGUGAGUUGUACGCAGGAAAAACAGUGGCCGCAUAGGGCCCAUCCGUUGGGACCGCACGUGCUACGUUCCGCAGCAAAAUAUAGCCCGGCAGAGAGCUGUAAAAUUAGAAGGUAACUAAACCUCGUAGCGAGGAGGUAUCUGGCGAUUUUCCGGAGUGUAUCUAUCGCCUCGUGGUUGCGUACCACUAUAGGUACAUUCGGAGUGCGUUGGCUGCAAAAUAAUAGAAGUCUCGGCUCGCAAGCAUCACCCGCUACACGUGAUUGCUUCACCCGCGAGAAGGUCUGAAAGGGAAAGAUUUCCCAACGCCGGAGAAACUCGCCCCGACUCACGUGCCCGUAAAUCGAGAGGCCCCCGUACGACACCCCGGUACUGCUGUUUAACCAGCCGAUCACCAUCCACCUUACUGGGAAAGCAAUGGUUGCUUGACCGUUGAACGGUCCAUCACCUAACCCAACGACCCGAGAUUCAAUACGGAAUUAUUUCCCGGCGACCACCCCCACAAGCAUUGCACAGCGGUCACCCACUCACAUUCCCCUGUCGGCGAUCACACGAUCGUUGGCUUGCGCCAACGUUGCAACCCGAGCAACAUUUCUUCGGGUAGUUUCUCCCUCGGCGAUCUGGAAGAUUGCUCACAGCCACGAGCCAUCCGCAGCGAGAACGAUAGCCGACAGAACAUCUCCCGAAUCGACUUCCACCCACAGGAGUAGACAGAGAUCGACGACGGCUGACAACCUGUAAGUACGAACGAACCAAACACGAACCCCCCACACGAAUACAUCACCGAGAUAGUAGGGACAAACAUUGUAAAGUAGUAGGGGAAGAAACGUAACGGAGAAAGAAGAAAGUGACGUCACACACAUUAUUUCUGGGUUUUGAGACAGAGAAAAAGAGGAGAGAGCGGUAGGAAAU
Wyeomyia smithii (pitcher-plant mosquito) is the source of this 1023-nucleotide long non-coding RNA. RefSeq lists it as uncharacterized. Lineage: Eukaryota; Metazoa; Arthropoda; Insecta; Diptera; Culicidae. The transcript has 3 exons. The record is from RefSeq and is a predicted model, not a curated record.